RNAcentral lists this ribosomal RNA (253 nucleotides) under uncultured bacterium. RNAcentral's name for it is "partial 16S ribosomal RNA". It matches the Rfam family "Bacterial small subunit ribosomal RNA", at positions 524 to 776 of the family's 1533-position model. The record is from RNAcentral.
UACAGAGACUGCAAGCGUUAUUCGGAUUCACUGGGCGUAAAGGGAGCGUAGGCGGCGUGGUAAGUCAGAUGUGAAAUCCCGGGGCUCAACCCCGGAACUGCAUCCGAUACUGCUAUGCUAGAGUGAUGGAGAGGUAGCUGGAAUUCACGGUGUAGCAGUGAAAUGCGUAGAUAUCGUGAGGAACACUCGUGGCGAAAGCGAGCUACUGGACAUUUACUGACGCUGAGGCUCGAAGGCUAGGGUAGCGAAAGGG